AGGAAUCCUAUUGCAACUACUACUAAUACCAAAAAAAGUGUCCUAAGGAAACUGCUAUUCACAAGAAAAAGAACAGAGUGCAUUUCACACAGCAGUAGAACUGAUAUUCUACCAUUACAAAGAAGUAACAAAAGUGAAGACAAAACACCUAAUAACUGCCUUAAGGAAAACCAUCUUUGUUAGGGUUCAAGCACAAGAAAAUACCUGGCUUGCUUUGAACAGCAGUGUUUUUAUAACAUUUUUGUUGGAUCACAAUCUUCUUUCUCUCCACUCUGAUCCAAAAGUCUAACUGUGUUAAUCUAACAAACUAAUGUAAUGCUUGUAAUAUGAUUAAAGGUAUUACUAGAAUUUAUAGAAAGAAUGUGUUUUUCUCAUUCUGGUAGAAGUUUUUCCCUGCAACUGCAGAUGUAUACAAAAGUGUAACUAUCUGCUUGAAAAUCUAUGUUUUUUUCUCCCCUGUGGGGAAAACACAAGAUGUUUUAAGAAAUAUUUUUUUCAAUGAAUGCUUUUCUGGGAAGGUCUUUUGCAUGAAGAGAAGAAAAAAGACCCCUUACUUACUAGCUUUGUGUUUUUGGUGUGCCUCUGGAAAGUCAGGGCUAUGUUGCUGUUGGAAAAAGGCCUGGAAACCUUGAUUUCCAAUACUCUGUGUGAAAGUCUUAAUGAUUGGGCUACUAUCUAUCUGGAAAGGGAUCAGGGUGACUAGUUUUUCUCCUCUUUCCUUUUCUUUCGGGGAAAGGAGGUCAUAGCAAAUUUUAAAAAUUUAGACAUACCUCUCUUCAGUCUAAUGCAAAAUAAAAAAAAAUUCAAGAUUUUUUUUCUCUCUCUGGGAAAGAGAUAGUAUUUUUUAAUCGGUCUUAACAGUAAUGCAUAGAUCCACUGUUCAUGUUUCUAGUAAAGUAAAAAAUACAAUGAUGGUAUAGAGUUUGCGCGUAGCAAUGAAGAGAAACAACUGUACAUGGAUGGAGAGAAAGGUGCUGUAGCUAUGGCUGAAGAGCUCUGCUUGGAGCAAUGGAAAAAUAUUGCAUUUAUUCCACUGAGUCUUGCAAAGCAUCUUGUUAUCUGUGCACUUGUAUAUGUACUUAUAAUUUCACUUUAUUUACACAUAGUGAAAACUAGACCUACCGUUGACAAUGUGAGGUCUGCUUUAAAAAAUACAAAACCAGAGAGAACAAAGUGUGAGGAAAAUCCUGUUCAUAAAGCCAAAGUGACUCUUUAUGGAAGAAUAAAAAAUAAUCUGAUGUAUAAUAAUAAUCUUUCUUCCAUUCAUACAAAAUUGUGCAAAACCUUAGCUUAAUUUUGUUGACUGUUACAGCGUGUCUUCUGAAGUAUAAAUGCUAACUGAAAUCAGUAGUCUUUCAAAAAGUUCAGCAUGCGUGCUAAGAUAUUAGAUAUUUUUUUAAAAUGUACUUGAACACAGGUAUGUCUGAUUUUCUUUAAAGCCUCUAUCAGUGAGGAAAAGAAGGUGAUGGCUGGAUCAUGGUCCCAUAGGAUGCACCUCAUUUCUAGUAUUUAAUGUUUUAACGUUCAUCGCUUACAUGUGUGUUUGGCUGUGCUUCUGAAUCAUUACUUUGCAAAAAGAAACGGACGCUGCCGUCCAUCUCCAGAUGAGUUUCCACCUUGCUUAAAGAUUGGUGCUUUUCUCCUUUUUUCAUUCUCCUUUUUUCUUUAGAAAAGAUAAUUUUUAAUUAGAUUCUGCUUUCUGGAUAAGUUGAUCUUCCUUUUUAAUUCAAAGCAACAAGAGGAAGUAGCAGUGGGGUAUACCUUGAUCUCUGAAAUACUUCAGUCUGUGUUUAAAAAGUCACAGUGCUGUAACUUUCUCUUGAAAGGCUGCUGUGCAUUCAGAUGUUUGUUGGCUGGACUUGAAAGUAUGCUUUGGAUACUGUUUAGAAAAGUCUAGAGCCCCAUAAGUGCAAUAUACAAUAAAAGGAAGUAAUGCUCAAGACCUAUUGUGUGCGGAUUGCUACUAACUGAUUUUUCUCUUAAUGUUUUCAGCUUGCUGACCUGGAGAAAAGGCCAUUUCUACAUUUUAUUUCAGAGCCCAGAGAGGAAUAAACCAAGACCACCAGCUAAGACAUUAUGUAACUGCCAUGGAUAUGACCAUUGGAUGCCCUCAGGAAUCACCUACAAGGGAAACUGGAAGGUCCAUGGCAUCUCUCUGUCAUCUUUCCCUCCUGGUGGUGCCUCCAAACCUCUUCUGCAGGGGCUUGUGCAAAACAGAGCAUGGUCUCUACUUAAUGGAGGAUUUUCCAGAAAGACCCCAGCCUGGGACCAGUGAUGUGCCUGCCCUGGCCUCAGGUUUAGUUCUGGCAUAGCAGAGAGGUCAAAAGCAGGGAGCCUUCUCCUUCAGUAAGUAUGAAGCCACCUGGGAACAAGACAUCAGCUGAGAACAAGGAUCCCUGUUCACCAUAACUGCCUUCACAAUCCCGUGCUUGGACUGACUGUUCCCCCCGCAGAGCUGCACCCAGUUGCCUCAGGAGUUACUCUGGCAGCUUCACUGCAAGGGACUGACUCAGAAGGACUGCCGGUUUUGGUUACUUAGGGGAGAAUUUCAUCCCCAGAGCCCCACACUGAUGUCACACCCCGGCUUCGUGCCAUUAACUCAGCUUCCAGCACCAACGACAGACACAAGAAGCACACGAUUGCUGCACUCCCACGGACUGGCCAGGAGAAUCCAAAAGAACAAUGCUAAUCUGCGCUGUUGUGAGAGCUGGCAAAGGACCUGUGAACAGAUAUUCAUAGGGAUGAGUUCAGAGAUGAUGGGUAAUUUAAACUGAGGAAAAGGAGCCACACAGAGUCUGUGUUAAGG
Long non-coding RNA from Falco peregrinus (peregrine falcon), 2806 nucleotides. RefSeq lists it as uncharacterized. The record is from RefSeq and is a predicted model, not a curated record. Lineage: Eukaryota; Metazoa; Chordata; Aves; Falconiformes; Falconidae. The transcript is spliced from 7 exons.